UGAUAUUUUCACUAUUACAAUUAAAUAUAGGUCAAUGAGAAAGAUUAAAUAAAAGCAUCUUAAUCAGAAACAUUAUAUGAAAUCAUAGAUUGACAAGAGUCAACUGAUCAACGCAUCCAUCUUUUUUCGUUCUAUUUGUCUGAGCAUGCGCAGUUUACAGUUCUGAAGUUGUAUAUAAGUAGGUACUACUUGAAUAUAACAGUGAAUAUUUCUUAGACAAAGGAGCUGGAUACAUGAAACUUUAAUUAAUUCAAUGUAAUACAUAUAUUUGAGUAAAGAAGUUGCUCUACUCUAUGUCAUAUAUAUAUGUUUGUCUUUAGUAAGUUGUAAAGCAUAGCUAUAGACUCGUAUAUGACAAGAGACUUCCAGAACUUGGUAAUCAUAAACAUGUGAUACGCAAUGCAGGACAAACGGAACGCGAGGGAUACAAUAAAGACAACCUCGAGUUUGUAAGUUGAGGAGAUUGGAAACAAUUAUCUGUCGUCCCAUUUAUUAAUGGUCCAUGUACGAGUUAAUUUCGUUAAGAGUAUCAAAGACAGUGAGAUACAAUUUCUUUCCUCGUAUCGUGAGAUUUCCAACAAGACAAAUCGAAUUUCUAGAUGAGAAAUGGAACAAUUCUUAUAGUUAUAUAAACUGGAUUAAAUCGAAUGAUUAAAACA
Long non-coding RNA from Apis dorsata (giant honeybee), 659 nucleotides. RefSeq lists it as uncharacterized. The transcript is spliced from 2 exons. NCBI's taxonomy places the organism in Eukaryota, Metazoa, Arthropoda, Insecta, Hymenoptera, Apidae. The record is from RefSeq and is a predicted model, not a curated record.